AGGUUCGUAGUAUCACGUGAUGCAGGCAAAACGCUGCUGAAGGAGUGCGGAUUCUGCUGCUAAAUUCACGGAAAAUGGUCGUAUUGUCCCAUCCUAUCGAAUGUCUUCCGACGUAGAUGAAACGAGAAAAGUAUAAGGCAUGUUUAGGGUUCUUCAAAAUCUCCCACAAAGAUUGUUUAAGUCCUACCAUGGAGGUGUCUACUGGGCCAAUAGAGGGCAGCCUGUUGCUGAAUCUCAGCGAAAGAAGCAUCAGGAUAAGAUAAUUGUCGUCUCUUUUCCAAGUCAUGAACUUGGUGCGAGUCUGCACACCAGCAGCAGACUUGAGAAGGUUGGACACCAAGGAAGUUCUGAUGAAGAAUGGCAAAGGAGUUUCAAGCAGAGGAUAGAAUGGGAUUCCUUCCGUAGGUCCAGCUAUGCAUCUGAAGCUCUGGGAUGGGGCUCCAUCAUUGUUCUUGGCCUUCAGCUUGGCCGCUUCAUCUCUACAGGACCACCUGGUGAAAAACAGAGGAGGGGCCAUGAGCGUCUGCUGUCCUCUAUUGCUCAUGUCCUACCAUGUCCGUAUUCAUCAAGGCAUGUAUCACAUCGGAGGAGCAUUCUUCCAGAGGAAGAGGCAAGCAAGAAGAGGAGCCAUGAUAUGUCUCAAUCUUCUUCAGAUGAAAGUUCAUCCUACUUGUUAGAUGAAAGCCCAUAUUGGGAUUUCAAGCCUUCUGAUGUUCAGCCGGGUGGACUUCAGAAGACGAGCAAUGAGAAACCAUCUCCACCAUCAUCCGUCUCUCCAACAACCCAGGUUCCUUCAUUCAAUCAGUCAAGUGAUUCAUCCUUCCCUUCAUCCUCCUCCAUCCCAACUGGUAUCCCGCCACCAUCUGCGGGGGAAUCUAAAGUUCCAUUCGACCAGGUGACCCGGCAGUGCUGGGGUCGGGUCAACAACAUCAUCGGAGGUCACCUGAUGUCGGAAGGAGAUGAAGAGAAAGCUGUCCAUCACUUCAAGAUUGCCAGUCAAUCAGGUUACAGCAAAGGACAGUACAACCUUGGCAUGUGUUAUGAACUUGGCAAAGGAGUUCUUCAAGAUGAUGUACAGGCUGCUGUGUUCUUUGGCCUGGCUGCCGAGCAGGGUCAUUCACACGCCCAGUAUAAGCUAGGCACAUAUCACCUGGAUGGGAGGGGUAAUGUGAAGCAGUGUGAACAGACAGCAUUAACCCUCAUCGCACAGGCAGCUGAAGGUGGUGUGGUUCAGGCCCAGAGUUACCUAGGUAUGUACUACAUGACUAGUGAAGAACCUGACCCUCAAAGGGCUGUGGCUUAUCUUCAAGAAGCUGCACACAAAAAGGAUGCUGAAGCACAGUACCAUCUUGGAUUAUGCUAUGAGUAUGGAUGGGGUGUUGAAACCAAUGAAGCAAGGGCAUCUAGUCUUUAUCACUCUGCAGCAAGCAAAGACCAUGCUCCUUCACUUUAUUCAUUGGCUCUCUUACAUGAACAAGGUUUAGGAGGUUUACCAGAGAAUCAAUCUCAUGCAAAAGAGCUCUUCAUCAGGUCCAGCUCAUUGGGUUAUGAAAAGGCUACAGAGAAGCUUCUUGAGAUGGAUGCAGAAGAAAGAGGACUCCAUAGAUUCAGACUUGAUUCAAACUCGACUUUGAGCUCAGACUCAUGGACCACAAGCUCUGAGUCAGGCUCUGAGACUACAGGAGGAAGUGGAUCUCUUUUCAGUCCAUUCUCAAGCAGCAGUAUAGACUCGGAUAUAUCAAUAUGUUUUGAUGCGGGAGCACCGAUGUGUUUAGACUUGAAAACUCUACUUCCUCCCGCCAGUGGGAAUAUACAUGUAUCAUCCAGCGCACCUGAACUCAACGACAUGAAGCGUGUAUCAGACCUGGGAGGGGGUGGAGACAGGUCUCCUGUGAAUUCCAUCCUGCAUAGUUUGUCCUGUCUGACCUUUUCUACACUGCAUGAAGGGUCGAAGGUCAAAGGUCAGUCUGAUGGAGAAUGGAUGCUAGGUACUCGGAGAUUGACCUUUGGUAUGUCAGGAGGUCAGGAUUCUGGAGGAUCAGAGAAAGUCGUCUUUCAGCUUGGAUGUCUUGAUGAAGAGGAGAAUAUUGACUGGUGUGAACCCAUUGAUGCCAUUGCUCAACAGAGACUAGUAUCAUUCAAGAGAUCUACAGUUGUCCUGUAAUUCAAUGAAGGAAAUUAAAUAUAAUCACCGAUUGUAAUAUAAAUAUGUGUAUUUGUAUAUGUUGCAUUGCCUAUAGACAUUAAAAGAAAUUUGCUUGAAGAUGAAAUGAUAGUGGUUCCUGAAUCAGACAUUCAUGAUCAUAGCUCUAACGCGUAAUUGGUUUCAAUUAAUUAUAUUUUGGUGCCUGUGUUAUUGUGGAUACAAAAUCAUUUUAAUGUGUAGGAGCUAUAUUUUCACCUUUUGGCAAUUGCUGAAUUUUGGGGCAAUUUUUUCAUUUCAAGUCUGUACCAUAGGAUAACUAGAAAUUAUGCAUUAAAUACAGAUAUCUUUAUUCGGCUUCUGCUUUUAUGUAGAAUAUUGAUUCUCUAAAUAUUUUUGAAUAUUUCUGGUAGAUCUUGGAGUGACUUGUGGGUACUUUAGGGGCAAUAUAUACAGUUCUAAGCAUUAUCUACUCUUAUUUCAAUAUUCACACAUGGUAUGAAAACUUGUAUUUUUAUUCAAGAAUAGUUUGUCCCUCCUUCGUUUAUCAACGCACAAAAUUACAAUUCUAUCAUUAUAAAUAUGUAUGGUAUAUUACCACAGUGCUUCAUUCUUAUCUUCUCCCUUGAUUUUGACAUGGAUGUAGAUACAAAAACAUCACACUGUUCGAGUGGUUCCACGACUUUUGCUGCGGUGACAUUACUCCGAUGCAAAAUCUACAUGUUAAAGCCAAAGAUAAAACCUAACCUCCAAAACUAAAUAAACCGUAAUCCUUAUCUUUACAUUAUUCUGGGCCCAAAAGUCUAUUACAAUCCCAACUGUAACCCUAUGGAACAUGCUGGUCUUCAGUUCCCAGUGGAAACUAUGCUCUUUUAAGACUGAAGCAAAUGUAUCACCCCCCCCCCCUCCCUAAACAAUAGGUUCGCUGAAUGUAUCUAAGUCUAACCCAGUGUCUUCCACAGUACUCUUGUCCUAUAAAUUUUAUGUUCAUAUGUGUAUUCAUUUAAAAAAAAACCAUAGAUACUUAUACUAUGUAAUAGUAUGAAUAUCCUAUGUAAAUUCUAUUCAAGGUACAAAAGCUUCUUUUUGAAAACGUUGCUUUCAAUUUUCUUAGAGUAGCUCUGACAUAGUUUUCAUCCAUUCUUUUAUAAUUAUAAGAAAAUAUUAUUAGUUUUGAAAUGUAAAAUCAUUAUGAAGUUUGUCAUGUUCAAUAUAUCUUCAAGAAAUCGAUAGAUUGAUGUAUGUUUUUAAGAAUAAUUUCUAAAUAAUCAGCUCUUGUAUAUUGCAUAUAACCUUCCAUUUAAUGUCUCUCUUCCAGUGGGAUUUUGGAUAUUAUUACUCUUGUUUUAGCCCAGCAAGUAUUUCAAGGAGUAAAUUCCUUCUAGGUACCCAUUUACCUCACCUGGAUUGAGUGCAGAGCAAUGGGGAUGAAUUAUUGCUUUUCACCGUGGUUAGAAUUCAAACAUAACUGUCUGUUCAAAGUCAGGAGACUGAUCCACUGGGCCACGAAUGCUUAUUCUUUAAACUUCUUGCCAUGUUUCUUACAGACUGUCUUUGGGGGUUCAUCUAGAUUUGAUAAUCUCUUCUCUCUUUUUUCAUAACUAUUAACAUAAUAAAGUUAUCAUAUGCCAAAUUCACAUUUCACACUAUCUACUGGCAGAACUCUAUUCACAAGUACUUUCGAGUUUAUCUCAAUGGGAAUAGUUCAUCUCAAUGAGUGUUGUCAAUUGAUCUACAGUGUAAACGCUAUAGUGUACUAUGUAUAGCGUUCAUAAAUGCCUUAUUUAUUAUAUAAUGGGAAAUACAUUUACUAGUUUGACAAAUCGUGGAGGUCUAAAGCUUGUUUUGAGUUAUGAUACUUGAAACUAAGGUUAAUCAAUUCAUUUGAUAUUAUUGUAGUUUAUUGUGUUGACAAAUUUAUUUUUUGUCAAGUGCUAUCUAAGUUCCCAAAUCUGCUGCAUAUUUUUAUUUCAAUCUUGUGUUAAUGGAGAGUAAAGAGUGAAAAAUAAUUUAGAGGAAAGUCCAUAUAAUUAUAAUUCAAAUUUAUGUUGAAUAUAUUUUUUGAGAUCUUGUAUCAGUGUAAAAAGAAAACUUCCCCCUAAUAAAGUCUCUUAAAAGUUAAA
RNA transcript from Lytechinus pictus (painted urchin), 4266 nucleotides. It is a transcript of the gene named DAP3-binding cell death enhancer 1-like, with no coding region annotated. Lineage: Eukaryota; Metazoa; Echinodermata; Echinoidea; Temnopleuroida; Toxopneustidae. The transcript is spliced from 10 exons. The record is from RefSeq and is a predicted model, not a curated record.